AUCAGGCGUUUACAGGAAAUUCGUCUCUUAGUCCUUGCGUCUCAUCUUCCAGAGGGCAUGUGCAUCAGAUUGUCUUUAUGUCCUCCAGCUCUGUUGCAUUAAACUCUUCCAUAGGUAUCACCGGGGGUUCUUACCGUAAGUUUAUCUCUACCCCAAGAUUACACCUUAAUAAUUAAUUAUCAAGAAAGACUGCUUUGGACAGGCACAAAUUCUACUUUACUAGAAGCCAUUUUUGUUCUUCCCAGUUACAGAGUAAUGCCCCAGGACAGGGUUGGGUAACCAGGAAAUCCUGGUACAAGGUGGACACUUAGGUCUUCUCAUAAUUGAGCUGGGAAGGCUUUGGAGCACAUAUCAGUCAAAAGGCUCUAAACCCAGCUGGGCAGGGCAACUUGGCUUCCUCCACCACCUCUGCAGAGUCACAAAUGGAGCCUGUCAUCUGUCAGCUGCUUGCUGAUUGGCUGACCAGCCACCACUCAUGUCCCACAGCUGUUCUGGCCCUGAGAGUCUCCUGGGUGGGGAGGGAGGGGGUCAGGGUCAGCUUGUUCUGUGCACGUAGCCCAUGGGACUUCCAAGAGCAGGGAUAUUUCAUUAAACUGCUCUGAUCAGCGGUUCCUGGAUGCUGUGUGUGUGACAGGCAGAUGGCCUGUCUGGUCUGUACCUUUUGAAAUGAACUCUGCUGGGAUGUGGUGUUGGACUUGGAAGAAAGUUAGAGGUAAAUGAGACAUAAGUCAGAAGAUUUGACAUUCAUUGCAGCUGCAACCUUAGGCAUGAUUCUCCAGAGAAAAUGUGGACAAGAAGUAAUUUACUGAGAAACUGAAACAGUUUCUGGAUUAUCUGCUGAGUUGUCCACCAUGUUAUUAAAUAAAAGACAUAGUCAAAUAUAUAAAUGUAAUUUUUCCUUUCUUAAGUCAAAGAGUAUGUGUAUGUUACAAUUCUGAUUUUCUCAUGAAGAUUAAGUGAAAUUUCAGUUUUAAUACUUUUCACUUAAGUGAUUAAACCACAG
Molecule: long non-coding RNA, 1003 nt
Organism: Camelus dromedarius (Arabian camel)
Lineage: Eukaryota; Metazoa; Chordata; Mammalia; Artiodactyla; Camelidae
Exons: 3
Source: RefSeq, a predicted model, not a curated record